Molecule: ribosomal RNA, 254 nt
Filed under: uncultured bacterium
Lineage: Bacteria
Description: partial 16S ribosomal RNA
Rfam family: Bacterial small subunit ribosomal RNA
Source: RNAcentral
UACGUAGGGGGCUAGCGUUGUCCGGAAUCAUUGGGCGUAAAGCGCGUGUAGGCGGUCCGGUAAGUCCGCUGUGAAAGUCGAGGGCUCAACCCUCGAAUGCCGGUGGAUACUGUCGUGACUGGAGUCCGGUAGGGGAGUGGGGAAUUCCUGGUGUAGCGGUGAAAUGCGCAGAUAUCAGGAGGAACACCGGUGGCGAAGGCGCCACUCUGGGCCGGUACUGACGCUGAGGAGCGAAAGCGUGGGUAGCAAACAGG